UUUCAGUUUAUUCUUCCUUCCUUACGUAGCAUACUCAUACACUGCUUUCACAAGAAUUUAGUUUAUUCUUCCUUCCUUACGUAGCAUACUCAUACACUGCUUUCACAAGAAUUUAGUUUAUUCUUCCUUCCUUACGUAGCAUACUCGUACACUGCUUUCACAAGAAUGUAGUUUAUUCUUCCUUCCUUACGUAGCAUACUCAUACACUGCUUUCACAAGAAUUUAGUUUAUUCUUCCUUCCUUACGUAGCAUACUCAUACACUGCUUUCACAAGAAUGUAGUUUAUUCUUCCUUCCUUACGUAGCAUACUCAUACACUGCUUUCACAAGAAUGUAGUUUAUUCUUCCUUUGCCUAAAAGGCGCUUGCCUCUUUCACGCUUUAUUGAGAUGAGGUAGUGUACAGAAAAUAGGUUUUCUUUCCGGACUUGACUCUUCUCCACCAAUCGAAACAUCAAUCUUGUGUUUGGUCCUACUGGCAGCAGAUUGGCCAUUCAUACGUUUGAGUACUUUUCAGACCAGUCUAGUCUGUUCUUCUCAAUCUCAUUCACACCCCUAUGCCUGCCACAAAACCCGCCUCUGGUAUUUAAUUGCACUAAAGUGUUUUAUGGGUCAUUGGCCAGGGCUAAUGAAGGGGAACACUCUUUAUCCACUUGCUACUACCUACAUUGACAAACUGGAUGAAUCUAAGGAAGGCCUCACCCACAGUAAGUUGACCUGGUAUGGAAUAGGGUAGGGUCAGGUGGGUUUGAGUGAUAACUGCCAUCCCUCCGGCUGUUUUUAGGAGACCUGAGGUUUUGGAUGGUAGAGAGAGGGCUGAUUGGGUGUGUUUGGGGAACUGGGACUUUGUGAUUGGUGGAGAAAGAGUGGGACAAGCAGUGACGAUUAUUCGAGAUGGAUUUGUGGUUUCAGGCCUUUCCUGUACAUAUGCAACGUAAAGACAACCCUGAAACCUUUUUCAUAUAUUGUUGUGUGUCUGUUAAACAAAAAUUAAACAUUGUAAGGUAGAAUUGCUCAGAUUGUUGGUGUGCGUGUUUGAGAAGCUGUAGUUAAUAUAACAUACACAUAUAUUGCAGUUCAGGGGAAAAGUGGCGAAAUAACGUAGAUGAAUGUAAAACCUACAAAAAGAAAAAAGUUUCUUGUUGUAACGCUGGCUAGUUUCUACUGUUAGUGUACUCUGACAGAAUGACGGCACAAACAGCACAAACUGUCAUUCUGGUGCCAAAUUUUGCAUCUGCACUGUUCUUCAAGUAAAUGUGUUUUUGUAAAAUAUUCAGUGGAAAUUGUUCAAAGUAGUCCUUGUGCAUAGAGUUGUAUGGUUUGUUUAACUUUGCAAUCAUUGGUUUUGUUUGACAUACAUUUUAAAGUGAAAAAUCUUAGUCUCAGCAUAAUUCUGUUACCGUGGAAUUGCCCAUUAACCUUCUUACAUUGUGCAAUGAGACGCUUUAAUUCUAACAAGAACUAACUUGACCUUUUGGUGACCUUUCUGUGAGCCACCUGGUGUGAUCUAUUAUGAAUGCAUUUAUUGGUAUGUAGGCCUUUAUUUAGGCUGUUAUAAGGAGUCAUGAACUGUUAUGAAUGCUUAUAGCAGGCCAUAUACUGCACUACUUUAAUGUGUUUAUAAAGGUGUUAUGUAAGUGGUCAGAACCCACUGGACAAAAACUGGUUGAAUCAACAUUGUUUCCACGUCAUUUCAACAAAAACAUGAAAUGUGAUGACUUUUGAAUCAACGUGGAAAAUUGAUUGGGUUUGUAAAAUGUAAGGGAAUUUCGUUAUUUUUUCACCCAACUUUUAAACUAGAUCCAAUAACAUGGUGAAAUGUUUUGUUGAUUUCACGUUGAAUUCACAUUAGUUGACAACUCAACCAAAUGUAAAUCAAAACUAGACGAUGAAAUGACAUCUGUACCCAGUGUAUAGGAACCGUGAGCUGUUGUGAAUGCUUAUGGCAAGUCUUAUAAUACACUAUGGAGUGAUCGACUGUGCUAUGAAUGCAGUCAUAAUGUAUUGUACACAGGCGUUUCAGAAAAUGUGCUACCUACUUUUUCUGUCUCCCUGCCAAAUAAGUAUUUAUUAGAAUACAUGUUGUCAUUGUCUUUUGUGGGAGACAAAUCACCUAGGCGGCUCGGGGAUUCAAACUCGCAACCUUUCGGUUAUUGGCCCGACACUCUUAACCGCUAAGCUACAUGCCACCAAAUUGUACCUGUACCUUUCCCUCUGACUCACUUCCUCUCUAUCUCCCAAUCUAUUUUUCUCAAAUUGUUUCCCCCGUCUCUCUCUUUUAAACUAUCAGUAUUGACUGUAGUUCCACCCCCCAAAGUCAAUACCCAGUAUAUUAAGCUAACCGAGCCCUUGAAAUGUGCAGAAAGAAAGCCUUUAUUUCCUAAUGUUACAUCAUUCUAUCCUUUGUUUGCUCGUUGAAUGUCCAUGUUGAUGAGUCCAGCCCAGCAGCUCAGGAGCAGCAAAGCCAAUGGAUCUCCAACCAAAUCAAAUGUAACACAUCGUCAUCACUAUGGAGGCUCCACUCAACUCUGUGCUGUUUCUUCUAUCAUGCUCUGAAACAACACACCAAUCUGUUGUCUUGUAUCUGUUUUCUUGUUGUAACUGUCUGACUGUUGUUCUCUUGCUGUGCUGUGUCAGAGCAUUGUGGUUGGUGGGAGGGAAACAUACUUACUUUCUUUUGGUUGCUUUAUUAUCUUGUUCAUAUUGAUUGAUUGAUUGAUGUGCUCUCAUUAUGUCUGGUGCAGAAGUGUUUUAUUGCUCAUGUCUGUCUGACAUGUGCUCGAGUGGAUGGGUGACUUGAUGUCAUGAUGAUGAUGUGAUGUAAAUGUGAUAGAGAGAAAAUAAAUGCAAAUGGAUUGGAAU
Oncorhynchus tshawytscha (Chinook salmon) is the source of this 2859-nucleotide long non-coding RNA. NCBI's taxonomy places the organism in Eukaryota, Metazoa, Chordata, Actinopteri, Salmoniformes, Salmonidae. The record is from Ensembl.